RNAcentral lists this ribosomal RNA (274 nucleotides) under uncultured bacterium. Its description in RNAcentral is "partial 16S ribosomal RNA". It matches the Rfam family "Bacterial small subunit ribosomal RNA", at positions 523 to 796 of the family's 1533-position model. The record is from RNAcentral.
CUACGGAGGGUCCAAGCGUUAUCCGGAAUCAUUGGGUUUAAAGGGUGCGCAGGCGGUUUAUUAAGUCAGUGGUGAAAUCUCGGGGCUCAACUCCGAAACUGCCGUUGAUACUGAUAAACUUGAGUUCAGUUGGAGUAGGCGGAAUGUGUAGUGUAGCGGUGAAAUGCUUAGAUAUUACACAGAACACCGAUAGCGAAGGCAGCUUACUAAACUGAUACUGACGCUGAGGCACGAAAGCGUGGGGAGCGAACAGGAUUAGAAACCCUAGUAGUCC